This 334-nucleotide unclassified non-coding RNA is filed under the name soil metagenome. Its description in RNAcentral is "partial contains 5.8S ribosomal RNA, internal transcribed spacer 2, and large subunit ribosomal RNA". The stretch from base 1 to 120 matches the Rfam family "5.8S ribosomal RNA", at positions 35 to 154 of the family's 154-position model. The record is from RNAcentral.
GAUGAAGAACGCAGCGAAAUGCGAUAAGUAAUGUGAAUUGCAGAAUUCAGUGAAUCAUCGAAUCUUUGAACGCACAUUGCGCCCGCCAGUAUUCUGGCGGGCAUGCCUGUUCGAGCGUCAUUUCAACCAUCAAGCCCUGCUUGCGUUGGGGUCCUGCGGCUGCCCGCAGGCCCUGAAAACCAGUGGCGGGCUCGCUAGUCACACCGAGCGCAGUAAUACAUCUCGCUUUGGGCGUGCGGCGGGUUCUUGCCGUUAAACACCCCCUUUUUACCGAGGUUGACCUCGGAUCAGGUAGGAAUACCCGCUGAACUUAAGCAUAUCAAUAAGCGGAGGA